GCACAGGGAGGUAGGGACAAGAAAUAACAAUUCGGGGCAUAAUUUUUUGUAAUGGGAAUGAUGGGAAUUUAAACCUUUUUCAGAGUUUCAAUUGGAGGGCAAGUUUGGUCCAGCAGUCGCGGUAAUUCCAGUUUCAAUAGUGUAUAUUAAAAUUGUUGCAGUUAAAAAGUGUAGUUGAAUUUCUGGCCUUGUUAUUUUUCCUUGAGAGUUAUGGCAUUGUGGUUUAUUUCGGGUAUUGCAUUGGCUUUGCCCGGAUGUUUACUUUGAGAAAAUUAGAGUGCUCAAAGCAGGCUUUAGCCUGUAUAGUUUAGCAUGGAAUAAUAAAGUAGGACUUUGGUUCUAUUUUGUUG
RNAcentral lists this ribosomal RNA (350 nucleotides) under Theileria sp. RNAcentral's name for it is "SSU rRNA". It matches the Rfam family "Eukaryotic small subunit ribosomal RNA", at positions 454 to 846 of the family's 1831-position model. The record is from RNAcentral. Lineage: Eukaryota; Apicomplexa; Aconoidasida; Piroplasmida; Theileriidae.